CCUACGGGAGGCUGCAGUAGGGAAUCUUCCACAAUGGACGAAAGUCUGAUGGAGCAACGCCGCGUGAGUGAAGAAGGCUUUCGGCUCGUAAAGCUCUGUUGGUAGUGAAGAAAGAUAGAGGUAGUAACUGGCCUUUAUUUGACGGUAAUUACUUAGAAAGUCACGGCUAACUACGUGCCAGCAGCCGCGGUAAUACGGAGGUGGCAAGCGUUGUCCGGAUUUACUGGGCGUAAAGCGAGUGCAGGCGGGUCAAUAAGUCAGAUGUGAAAGCCUUGGGCUCAACCCGAGAAUUGCAUCUGAAACUGUUGAACUUGAGUGUAGUAGAGGAGGGUGGAAUUCCAUGUGUAGCGGUGGAAUGCGUAGAGAUAUGGAAGAAAACCAGUGGCGAAGGCGGCUCCCUGGACUACAACUGACGCUGAGGUGCGAAAGCAUGGGGAGCGAACAGGAUUAGAUACCCUUGUAGUC
RNAcentral lists this ribosomal RNA (465 nucleotides) under uncultured bacterium. Its description in RNAcentral is "partial 16S ribosomal RNA". It matches the Rfam family "Bacterial small subunit ribosomal RNA", at positions 338 to 795 of the family's 1533-position model. The record is from RNAcentral.